Molecule: ribosomal RNA, 497 nt
Filed under: uncultured bacterium
Lineage: Bacteria
Description: partial 16S ribosomal RNA
Rfam family: Bacterial small subunit ribosomal RNA
Source: RNAcentral
GAUGAACGCUGGCGGCGUGCCUAAUACAUGCAAGUCGAGCGAACGGACGAGAAGCUUGCUCCUCUGACGUUAGCGGCGGACGGGUGAGUAACACGUGGAUAACCUACCUAUAAGACUGGGAUAACUUCGGGAAACCGGAGCUAAUACCGGAUAAUAUUUUGAACCGCAUGGUUCAAUAGUGAAAGACGGUUUUGCUGUCACUUAUAGAUGGAUCCGCGCCGCAUUAGCUAGUUGGUAAGGUAACGGCUUACCAAGGCAACGAUGCGUAGCCGACCUGAGAGGGUGAUCGGCCACACUGGAACUGAGACACGGUCCAGACUCCUACGGGAGGCAGCAGUAGGGAAUCUUCCGCAAAGGGCGAAAGCCUGACGGAGCAACGCCGCGUGAGUGAUGAAGGUCUUCGGAUCGUAAAACUCUGUUAUUAGGGAAGAACAUAUGUGUAAGUAACUGUGCACGUCUUGACGGUACCUAAUCAGAAAGCCACGGCUAACUACGUG